RNAcentral lists this ribosomal RNA (265 nucleotides) under uncultured Cryptanaerobacter sp. RNAcentral's name for it is "partial 16S ribosomal RNA". It matches the Rfam family "Bacterial small subunit ribosomal RNA", at positions 1117 to 1382 of the family's 1533-position model. The record is from RNAcentral. Lineage: Bacteria; Bacillati; Bacillota; Clostridia; Eubacteriales; Desulfotomaculaceae.
GCUAACGCGUGAAGGCGAGCACUCUAGACGAAACUGCCGUUGCAAACGGAGGAAGGUGGGAUGACGUCAAAUCAUCAUGCCCCUUAUGUUCUGGGCUACACACGUGCUACAAUGGCCGGCACAGACGGACGCAAAGCCGCGAGGUGGAGCAAAUCCUAAAAAAGCCGGUCUCAGUUCGGAUUGCAGGCUGCAAUUCGCCUGCAUGAAGUCGGAAUCGCUAGUAAUCGCAGGUCAGCAUACUGCGGUGAAUACGUUCCCGGGCCUU